UACGUAGGUGGCAAGCGUUAUCCGGAUUUAUUGGGCGUAAAGAGAACGCAGGCGGUCUUUUAAGUCUGAUGUGAAAGCCUUCGGCUUAACCGGAGUAGUGCAUUGGAAACUGGGAGACUUGAGUGCAGAAGAGGAGAGUGGAACUCCAUGUGUAGCGGUGAAAUGCGUAGAUAUAUGGAAGAACACCAGUGGCGAAAGCGGCUCUCUGGUCUGUAACUGACGCUGAGGCACGAAAGUGCGGGGAUCGAACAGG
RNAcentral lists this ribosomal RNA (253 nucleotides) under uncultured bacterium. RNAcentral describes it as "partial 16S ribosomal RNA". It matches the Rfam family "Bacterial small subunit ribosomal RNA", at positions 524 to 776 of the family's 1533-position model. The record is from RNAcentral.